This 460-nucleotide ribosomal RNA is filed under the name uncultured bacterium. RNAcentral's name for it is "partial 16S ribosomal RNA". It matches the Rfam family "Bacterial small subunit ribosomal RNA", at positions 338 to 795 of the family's 1533-position model. The record is from RNAcentral.
CCUACGGGGCGCAGCAGUGAGGAAUAUUGGUCAAUGGACGGAAGUCUGAACCAGCCAUGCCGCGUGCAGGAAGACGGCUCUAUGAGUUGUAAACUGCUUUUGUACAAGGGUAAACCUGAAUACGUGUAUUCAGCUGAAAGUACUGUACGAAUAAGGAUCGGCUAACUCCGUGCCAGCAGCCGCGGUAAUACGGAGGAUCCAAGCGUUAUCCGGAUUUAUUGGGUUUAAAGGGUGCGUAGGCGGAUGGAUAAGUUAGAGGGGAAAUGUCCGAGCUUAACUCGGGAACUGCCUCUAAUACUGUUGUUCUAGAGAGUAGAUGAGGUAGGCGGAAUGUAUGGUGUAGCGGUGAAAUGCUUAGAGAUCAUACAGAACACCGAUUGCGAAGGCAGCUUACCAAGCUACUUCUGACGUUGAGGCACGAAAGCGUGGGGAGCAAACAGGAUUAGAUACCCUGGUAGUC